Molecule: ribosomal RNA, 531 nt
Filed under: Escherichia coli
Lineage: Bacteria; Pseudomonadati; Pseudomonadota; Gammaproteobacteria; Enterobacterales; Enterobacteriaceae
Description: partial 23S ribosomal RNA
Rfam family: Bacterial large subunit ribosomal RNA
Source: RNAcentral
ACUGCGAAUACCGGAGAAUGUUAUCACGGGAGACACACGGCGGGUGCUAACGUCCGUCGUGAAGAGGGAAACAACCCAGACCGCCAGCUAAGGUCCCAAAGUCAUGGUUAAGUGGGAAACGAUGUGGGAAGGCCCAGACAGCCAGGAUGUUGGCUUAGAAGCAGCCAUCAUUUAAAGAAAGCGUAAUAGCUCACUGGUCGAGUCGGCCUGCGCGGAAGAUGUAACGGGGCUAAACCAUGCACCGAAGCUGCGGCAGCGACGCUUAUGCGUUGUUGGGUAGGGGAGCGUUCUGUAAGCCUGUGAAGGUGUGCUGUGAGGCAUGCUGGAGGUAUCAGAAGUGCGAAUGCUGACAUAAGUAACGAUAAAGCGGGUGAAAAGCCCGCUCGCCGGAAGACCAAGGGUUCCUGUCCAACGUUAAUCGGGGCAGGGUGAGUCGACCCCUAAGGCGAGGCCGAAAGGCGUAGUCGAUGGGAAACAGGUUAAUAUUCCUGUACUUGGUGUUACUGCGAAGGGGGGACGGAGAAGGCUAUG